Molecule: ribosomal RNA, 433 nt
Filed under: uncultured bacterium
Lineage: Bacteria
Description: partial 16S ribosomal RNA
Rfam family: Bacterial small subunit ribosomal RNA
Source: RNAcentral
AACGAACGCUGGCGGCAUGCCUAACACAUGCAAGUCGAACGAGACCUUCGGGUCUAGUGGCGCACGGGUGCGUAACGCGUGGGAACCUGCCCUUAGGUUCGGAAUAACUCCCCGAAAGGGGUGCUAAUACCGGAUAAUGUCUUCGGACCAAAGAUUUAUCGCCUUUGGAUGGGCCCGCGUUGGAUUAGCUAGUUGGUAGGGUAAAAGCCUACCAAGGCGACGAUCCAUAGCUGGUCUGAGAGGAUGAUCAGCCACACUGGGACUGAGACACGGCCCAGACUCCUACGGGAGGCAGCAGUGGGGAAUAUUGGACGAUGGGCGAAAGCCUGAUCCAGCAAUGCCGCGUGAGUGAUGAGGGCCUUAGGGUUGUAAAGCUCUUUUACCCGGGAUGAUAAUGACAGUACCGGGAGAAUAAGCUCCGGCUAACUCCGUG